Drosophila gunungcola (fruit fly) is the source of this 257-nucleotide long non-coding RNA. RefSeq lists it as uncharacterized. The record is from RefSeq and is a predicted model, not a curated record. NCBI's taxonomy places the organism in Eukaryota, Metazoa, Arthropoda, Insecta, Diptera, Drosophilidae. The transcript is spliced from 3 exons.
GAAAAACCGAAAAGUAAAAAUCAGAUAAAACUGAGAUAAUCAGCGAGUGAGCAAGGCAACGAGCGAGGCGAAGCCGAAAAACCCAAUCAACCAAAUAAGCUGAGGGCAAAAGUGCUCCGAGAACGAACUUAAACUUGCAUCUAAAGUAACGAUUUUAGUCGACUCACUUUGGGUUAUCAGAUUAUUGAAUCACCGCUAAAUUAUAGAGGUGCGCAACUUCAAGUAAUGUGGUCUAGACUUGAAAAACCUUAAAAUGU